RNAcentral lists this ribosomal RNA (713 nucleotides) under uncultured bacterium. RNAcentral's name for it is "bacterial SSU rRNA". It matches the Rfam family "Bacterial small subunit ribosomal RNA", at positions 56 to 763 of the family's 1533-position model. The record is from RNAcentral.
UGCAGUCGAACGGCAGCACGGGAGCAAUCCUGGUGGCGAGUGGCGAACGGGUGAGUAAUAUAUCGGAACGUGCCCAGUCGUGGGGGAUAACGCAGCGAAAGCUGUGCUAAUACCGCAUACGAUCUCUGGACGAAAGCGGGGGACUCGUAAGAGCCUCGCGCGAUUGGAGCGGCCGAUAUCAGAUUAGCUAGUUGGUGGGGUAAAGGCCCACCAAGGCGACGAUCUGUAGCUGGUCUGAGAGGACGACCAGCCACACUGGAACUGAGACACGGUCCAGACUCCUACGGGAGGCAGCAGUGGGGAAUUUUGGACAAUGGGCGCAAGCCUGAUCCAGCAAUGCCGCGUGCAGGAUGAAGGCCUUCGGGUUGUAAACUGCUUUUGUACGGAACGAAAAGGUCUGCCUUAAUACGGUGGGCCCAUGACGGUACCGUAAGAAUAAGCACCGGCUAACUACGUGCCAGCAGCCGCGGUAAUACGUAGGGUGCGAGCGUUAAUCGGAAUUACUGGGCGUAAAGCGUGCGCAGGCGGUUAUAUAAGACAGAUGUGAAAUCCCCGGGCUCAACCUGGGACCUGCAUUUGUGACUGUAUAGCUAGAGUACGGUAGAGGGGGAUGGAAUUCCGCGUGUAGCAGUGAAAUGCGUAGAUAUGCGGAGGAACACCGAUGGCGAAGGCAAUCCCCUGGACCUGUACCGACGCUCAUGCACGAAAGCGUG